This 25-nucleotide ribosomal RNA is filed under the name Rhizoctonia solani. Its description in RNAcentral is "partial 28S ribosomal RNA". Lineage: Eukaryota; Fungi; Basidiomycota; Agaricomycetes; Cantharellales; Ceratobasidiaceae. The record is from RNAcentral.
UGACUUGGACACUAUUAUUAUGAUC